RNAcentral lists this non-coding RNA (46 nucleotides) under Trichobilharzia regenti. The record is from RNAcentral. Lineage: Eukaryota; Metazoa; Platyhelminthes; Trematoda; Strigeidida; Schistosomatidae.
GUACUGCUGAAGAGUACUAGACUAGGACGAAACAGCUGUCCAGUAU